This 79-nucleotide transfer RNA is filed under the name Dermacentor silvarum. RNAcentral's name for it is "transfer RNA threonine (anticodon UGU)". It matches the Rfam family "tRNA". From Rfam's summary of the family: Transfer RNA (tRNA) molecules are approximately 80 nucleotides in length. Lineage: Eukaryota; Metazoa; Arthropoda; Arachnida; Ixodida; Ixodidae. The record is from RNAcentral.
GGCGCCGUGCCAUGGCUUAGUUGGUUAAAGCGCCUGUCUUGUAAACAGGACAUCGUGAGUUCGAAUCUCACCAGUGCCU